AUACGUAGGGGGCGAGCGUUGUCCGGAAUGAUUGGGCGUAAAGGGCGCGUAGGCGGCCCGGUAAGUCUGGAGUGAAAGCCCUGUUUUUAAGAUGGGAAUUGCUUUGGAUACUGUCGGGCUUGAGUGCAGGAGCGGUAAGUGGAAUUCCCAGUGUAGCGGUGAAAUGCGUAGAGAUUGGGAGGAACACCAGUGGCGAAGGCGACUUACUGGACUGUAACUGACGCUGAGGCGCGAAAGUGUGGGGAGCAAACAGGAUUAGAUACCCUGGUAGUCCACACUGUAAACGAUGAAUGCUAGGUGUAGGGGGUAUCGACCCCUUCUGUGCCGCAGUCAACACAAUAAGCAUUCCGCCUGGGGAGUACGGCCGCAAGGUUGAAACUCAAAUGAAUUGACGGGG
This 397-nucleotide ribosomal RNA is filed under the name uncultured bacterium. RNAcentral describes it as "partial 16S ribosomal RNA". It matches the Rfam family "Bacterial small subunit ribosomal RNA", at positions 523 to 918 of the family's 1533-position model. The record is from RNAcentral.